Molecule: ribosomal RNA, 489 nt
Filed under: uncultured bacterium
Lineage: Bacteria
Description: SSU rRNA
Rfam family: Bacterial small subunit ribosomal RNA
Source: RNAcentral
AGGACGAACGCUGGCGGCGUGCUUAACACAUGCAAGUGGAGCGACGAACCAGGGCUUGCCCUGGGGCAGAGCCGCGAACGGGUGAGUAACACGUGGGUUACCUGCCUCGAUGACCGGGACAACCCGAGGAAACUCGGGCUAAUACCGGAUGUGCCCGCAAGGGGAAAGGAAGCUUCGGCCUCCGCAUCGAGAUGGGCCCGCGGCCCAUUAGCUUGUUGGUGAGGUAACGGCUCACCAAGGCUUCGAUGGGUAGCUGGUCUGAGAGGACGAUCAGCCACACUGGGACUGAGACACGGCCCAGACUCCUACGGGAGGCAGCAGUGGGGAAUCUUGCGCAAUGCGCGAAAGCGUGACGCAGCAACGCCGCGUGGGGGAAGAAGGCUUUCGGGUGUAACCCUUUCAGUUGGGACGAAGCUUCUCCGGUGAAUAGCCGGACGGAGUGACGGUACCUUCACAAGAAGCACCGGCUAACUACGUGCCAGCAGCCGC